UGCAAUGCGAGGCCGGCUACGCUCGUCCCGAUAGAAAACUGUUGGAGGGGCCGCUCCUUGUGUUUCCUUCCUCCAUGUAUAGACCGUUUACAGCAGAGUUAUCUGGGCGCCGCCAUCUUAGCGCACGUGACCUUGCGCGCCACUGCUUGCCUUCUCUUUCGGCUGCCUGUUGGCACGGCGCACGUAGUACGACAGUGCAACCCAGAGACGCUUUCCCCGAUUUUAAACUUUUUGCAAUGAAUUCCGGAUGGAAGGAUGAAACGAGGCUUUGGCCGAAGCUUCAACGGUCAGAUGUACACAAGCACAUGAUCAACGAGCUAGCGGGAGACGGAAAGCCUGCGCUGAACUACAGAGAAUUUGCAAAUGGAACGAAGCUGUUUGACAGCGGCCAUGUCGGUGUAGUACUGUGCUAGUGCAACGAUGGUGUAUGAAUUUUAGAUGGCGACACCAGGUCGACACAAACAGUGAGCAGAACGUGUAGUACAGAGACUCGCUUCGGGCCCACUUGGGCGGCAACAUGCACAUGUAAAGCGGGUCUGAGCAGCAGGUGCAGUCAUAUUUGUACACUGCUCAUCGAGGUUGUAGAGGCGACAAACAAGGGGCUCACGAGUGCUUCGUGCACUGACAAGGCAUGUACACGGAACCGUUCAGCUGCAAGGAACGUGAUCUCUGCUACUAUGGGGGAAGUUUAUUCUUACAAGCAGCAGCCAACCCGGUAAUCCAGAAGAUGUGGGUGCGAAUCCUACAGUUGGCUAACCUUUUCAGUGGCUUCCAUCUUUCGUCUUUCACCUACAGCAGAGUUUGGGGCUCACCCAUAAAUGCUGCGCCACUUUGAGGGCUGCAUUACUUACCCUCGCUGACUUUCCUGGUUUGAAAUCGUUCCUCUGAAGGUUCGAUACUUACCGUUUUCGAAUCCGCUUGUUUUUCUCUCUUUGUGGAAAUCCGUGCAUUGCAAAAGGCCUCGAACGCGGGCAGUCUUUGUAUAGCGACUGCUCGUGAAUUUAACAAACAGCUUCGUCCCACACGAUCAGAUCUCUGUCACAGUUUCUACACUCAAUCACGGAACAGGUCUUCCCUCUGCUUUUCCAGAUUUUGGACAGAACUGUAGCACAGCGGCAAAAAAGUCGGAAGCACUCACGUAGGCAAAGGCACACAGACACUCGCAGAAGGCAAGUAAUGGCGGGGCUACUGUGGCGGCAUCUAUUAGCGCCCGAAGCAACUGGCUGCUGUAAACGGUCUAUAUCAAGAACAAAGACACUAUCUUCGCUGCAUAUGAAAAGGAAAAUGUGGAGUCAUCCAGAAAGCGCCAGCGAACUUCGGCCCAUCCAGACCUCGAGAGCGCCGUCAUUUCUUGGAUUAAGAAUGUUCGGAGCCGAAACCUUCCGCUCAGCGGGCCCAUCAUCGCUGCAAAAGCAAGCGACUUCGCCAUGCAGUUGGACAUUGAAGACUGUAGCGCUUCAGAAGGUUGGCUGUCUCGUUUUAAGGUGCGUCACGGACUAACUUUCAAGAACUUUUCUGGCGAAAGAGCAGACGUCGACGAAGCCACGUGCGAAGAAUGGCUGUCCGGCCCUCUAAAGAAGCACCUCGAAAACUUUUCGCUUGACGACGUAUUCAACGCCGAUGAGACGGCACUCUAUUUCAAAUUACUGCCAAACAAGACAAUCAGGUCCAAAGGUGACGCCUGCGCCGGAGGGAAAAAGAGCAAAGAGAGAGUUACUGUUCUGGUGUGUGCAAACGCAACGGGUACAGAACGAUGUCGGCUACUUGUUAUGGGCAGAGCAAGCAAACCCCGGUGUUUUAAAGAAGUCAGAACCUAUCCUGUGGACUACAAAGCGAAUAAAAGCGCACGGACGACGGCCGAAAUCUUUACCGAGUGGGUAAGUUGGACAGAAAAUUUGCUUCCCAAGGCAGGCAGAUUCUUCUUUUCGUGGACAACUGCUCUGCACAUUGUGAUGUGAAGGGACUCAAGGCGAUCCGCUUGGCAUUUCUGCCAAAAAACACAACAGCCGUCUUGCAGCCGAUGGACUUGGGAAUUAUUCAGAACUUGAAGACUCUGUACAGGAGACACCUACUGGAAAGAAUCAUUCUGUGUUUGGAUAAUGACAGGCCAUAUGACGUGGAUCUCCUGGGAGCGGUCCAUAUUCUGGCAAGCUCGUGGAACCCGAAACUAUCCCCAAUUGCUUUCGAAAGUGCGAAAGGACAACGCGGACGCCGCUCUCGAACUUUUACAGAAGCUGCAAACCAUGUUGACUGAAUCGCGUUUCAGGAAGCGCUUGCAGACACAGAUAACAGAUUACUUUCUGAUGUAAUGGUAUGUUAUCUCUUCUCUGAAUAAAUGUCGAUUUUGUGGC
Ornithodoros turicata is the source of this 2351-nucleotide long non-coding RNA. RefSeq lists it as uncharacterized. The transcript has 2 exons. NCBI's taxonomy places the organism in Eukaryota, Metazoa, Arthropoda, Arachnida, Ixodida, Argasidae. The record is from RefSeq and is a predicted model, not a curated record.